CAGCCGCCGCGGUAAAACGUAUGUCACAAGCGUUAUCCGGAUUUAUUGGGCGUAAAGCGCGUCUAGGCGGUUAAUUAAGUCUGAUGUGAAAAUGCGGAGCUCAACUCCGUAUUGCGUUGGAAACUGGUUAACUAGAGUACUGGAGAGGUAAGCGGAACUACAAGUGUAGAGGUGAAAUUCGUAGAUAUUUGUAGGAAUGCCGAUGGGGAAGCCAGCUUACUGGACAGAUACUGACGCUAAAGCGCGAAAGCGUGGGUAGCAAAUAGGAUUAGAUACCCGUGUAGUCCCUGUCUCUUAUACA
This 301-nucleotide ribosomal RNA is filed under the name uncultured bacterium. RNAcentral describes it as "partial 16S ribosomal RNA". It matches the Rfam family "Bacterial small subunit ribosomal RNA", at positions 509 to 808 of the family's 1533-position model. The record is from RNAcentral.